CCAGACCCAUCGCGUACUCGAACCACUCCAAGAAAAGGAACUAUGACUGCCAGCCCACCAAGCAGAAAGUUCGAAGCAAAAACAAAACUUUACGAUUCUUUGUAAUAAUUCUCUUCUCUGAUAAUGCCUUAUUUUGCUUUUCUCCCACUGAAAACGAGAUUCUCUGUGUAUUGUUAGUGUAAGUUUUUCCUUCUACCUUCUUUCUCCUUCUUUAUGCCAUUUCUUUUGUUGCUUCGUAUAUUUUAAUCUUCUUUUUCUAGUGGGCCGCUCUUAUAAAAAUGGCUGACGUUUUAAUCAAGCAAAGGUGGCUGCGCGGGAUCCACCUGGGGCAGGUAAGGGGGUUGUUUGCUGCUCCCCAGGGGAUGAUUAUUUCCUGUCAGCCUGCUGAUUCUUGUUCUUCUCGCUCGGUAGACCCGUGGAGGCUCCAUCCAUGUCUGCUUACGUGAGUUGAGG
Molecule: long non-coding RNA, 453 nt
Filed under: Phoenix dactylifera (date palm)
Lineage: Eukaryota; Viridiplantae; Streptophyta; Magnoliopsida; Arecales; Arecaceae
Description: long non-coding RNA (PDAC_LNC019259)
Source: RNAcentral